Molecule: ribosomal RNA, 1506 nt
Filed under: Cronobacter sakazakii
Lineage: Bacteria; Pseudomonadati; Pseudomonadota; Gammaproteobacteria; Enterobacterales; Enterobacteriaceae
Description: bacterial SSU rRNA
Rfam family: Bacterial small subunit ribosomal RNA
Source: RNAcentral
AGAGUUUGAUCAUGGCUCAGAUUGAACGCUGGCGGCAGGCCUAACACAUGCAAGUCGAACGGUAACAGGGAGCAGCUUGCUGCUUCGCUGACGAGUGGCGGACGGGUGAGUAAUGUCUGGGAAACUGCCUGAUGGAGGGGGAUAACUACUGGAAACGGUAGCUAAUACCGCAUAACGUCUUCGGACCAAAGUGGGGGACCUUCGGGCCUCAUGCCAUCAGAUGUGCCCAGAUGGGAUUAGCUAGUAGGUGGGGUAACGGCUCACCUAGGCGACGAUCCCUAGCUGGUCUGAGAGGAUGACCAGCCACACUGGAACUGAGACACGGUCCAGACUCCUACGGGAGGCAGCAGUGGGGAAUAUUGCACAAUGGGCGCAAGCCUGAUGCAGCCAUGCCGCGUGUAUGAAGAAGGCCUUCGGGUUGUAAAGUACUUUCAGCGGGGAGGAAGGCGUUGUGGUUAAUAACCACAGCGAUUGACGUUACCCGCAGAAGAAGCACCGGCUAACUCCGUGCCAGCAGCCGCGGUAAUACGGAGGGUGCAAGCGUUAAUCGGAAUUACUGGGCGUAAAGCGCACGCAGGCGGUUGAUUAAGUCAGAUGUGAAAUCCCCGGGCUCAACCUGGGAACUGCAUUUGAAACUGGUCAGCUUGAGUCUCGUAGAGGGGGGUAGAAUUCCAGGUGUAGCGGUGAAAUGCGUAGAGAUCUGGAGGAAUACCGGUGGCGAAGGCGGCCCCCUGGACGAAGACUGACGCUCAGGUGCGAAAGCGUGGGGAGCAAACAGGAUUAGAUACCCUGGUAGUCCACGCCGUAAACGAUGUCGACUUGGAGGUUGUGCCCUUGAGGCGUGGCUUCCGGAGCUAACGCGUUAAGUCGACCGCCUGGGGAGUACGGCCGCAAGGUUAAAACUCAAAUGAAUUGACGGGGGCCCGCACAAGCGGUGGAGCAUGUGGUUUAAUUCGAUGCAACGCGAAGAACCUUACCUGGUCUUGACAUCCAGAGAAUCCUGCAGAGAUGCGGGAGUGCCUUCGGGAACUCUGAGACAGGUGCUGCAUGGCUGUCGUCAGCUCGUGUUGUGAAAUGUUGGGUUAAGUCCCGCAACGAGCGCAACCCUUAUCCUUUGUUGCCAGCGGUUCGGCCGGGAACUCAAAGGAGACUGCCGGUGAUAAACCGGAGGAAGGUGGGGUUGACGUCAAGUCAUCAUGGCCCUUACGACCAGGGCUACACACGUGCUACAAUGGCGCAUACAAAGAGAAGCGACCUCGCGAGAGCAAGCGGACCUCAUAAAGUGCGUCGUAGUCCGGAUUGGAGUCUGCAACUCGACUCCAUGAAGUCGGAAUCGCUAGUAAUCGUGGAUCAGAAUGCCACGGUGAAUACGUUCCCGGGCCUUGUACACACCGCCCGUCACACCAUGGGAGUGGGUUGCAAAAGAAGUAGGUAGCUUAACCUUCGGGAGGGCGCUUACCACUUUGUGAUUCAUGACUGGGGUGAAGUCGUAACAAGGUAACCGUA